UGCCAGCCGCCGCGGUAAUACGUAGGUCACAAACGUUGUCCGGAUUUAUUGGGCGUAAAGGGUCCGUAGGCGGUUCGGUAAGUCUCCUGUGAAAUCUUCAGGCUCAACUUGAAGAGGUCGGGGGAUACUGCCGGACUUGAGACUGUUAGAGGCAAGUGGAAUUCCCGGUGUAGUGGUGAAAUGCGUAAAUAUCGGGAGGAACACCAGUGGCGAAAGCGGCUUGCUGGGACAGUUCUGACGCUGAGGGACGAAAGCGUGGGUAGCAAACCGGAUUCGAUA
This 279-nucleotide ribosomal RNA is filed under the name uncultured bacterium. RNAcentral's name for it is "partial 16S ribosomal RNA". It matches the Rfam family "Bacterial small subunit ribosomal RNA", at positions 506 to 784 of the family's 1533-position model. The record is from RNAcentral.